Molecule: ribosomal RNA, 583 nt
Filed under: Saccharomyces cerevisiae (brewer's yeast)
Lineage: Eukaryota; Fungi; Ascomycota; Saccharomycetes; Saccharomycetales; Saccharomycetaceae
Description: partial large subunit ribosomal RNA
Rfam family: Eukaryotic large subunit ribosomal RNA
Source: RNAcentral
GAUGCCUUAAAUACGGCGAGUGAAGCGGCAAAAGCUCAAAUUUGAAAUCUGGUACCUUCGGUGCCCGAGUUGUAAUUUGGAGAGGGCAACUUUGGGGCCGUUCCUUGUCUAUGUUCCUUGGAACAGGACGUCAUAGAGGGUGAGAAUCCCGUGUGGCGAGGAGUGCGGUUCUUUGUAAAGUGCCUUCGAAGAGUCGAGUUGUUUGGGAAUGCAGCUCUAAGUGGGUGGUAAAUUCCAUCUAAAGCUAAAUAUUGGCGAGAGACCGAUAGCGAACAAGUACAGUGAUGGAAAGAUGAAAAGAACUUUGAAAAGAGAGUGAAAAAGUACGUGAAAUUGUUGAAAGGGAAGGGCAUUUGAUCAGACAUGGUGUUUUGUGCCCUCUGCUCCUUGUGGGUAGGGGAAUCUCGCAUUUCACUGGGCCAGCAUCAGUUUUGGUGGCAGGAUAAAUCCAUAGGAAUGUAGCUUGCCUCGGUAAGUAUUAUAGCCUGUGGGAAUACUGCCCGCUGGGAAUGAAGACUGGCAACUAAGUCAAGGAAGCUGGCAUAAUGGUUAUAUGCCGCCCGUCCUGAAACACCGAACAAAC